Molecule: ribosomal RNA, 492 nt
Filed under: uncultured bacterium
Lineage: Bacteria
Description: partial 16S ribosomal RNA
Rfam family: Bacterial small subunit ribosomal RNA
Source: RNAcentral
AGUGAACGCUGGCGGUAGGCCUAACACAUGCAAGUCGAACGGCAGCACAGUAAGAGCUUGCUCUUACGGGUGGCGAGUGGCGGACGGGUGAGGAAUACAUCGGAAUCUACUUUUUCGUGGGGGAUAACGUAGGGAAACUUACGCUAAUACCGCAUGCGACCUACGGGUGAAAGCAGGGGAUCUUCGGACCUUGCGCGAUUGAAUGAGCCGAUGUCGGAUUAGCUAGUUGGCGGGGUAAAGGCCCACCAAGGCGACGAUCCGUAGCUGGUCUGAGAGGAUGAUCAGCCACACUGGAACUGAGACACGGUCCAGACUCCUACGGGAGGCAGCAGUGGGGAAUAUUGGACAAUGGGCGCAAGCCUGAUCCAGCCAUACCGCGUGGGUGAAGAAGGCCUUCGGGUUGUACAGCCCUUUUGUUGGGAAAGAAAAGCAGCAGGUUAAUACCCCGCUGUUCUGACGGUACCCAAAGAAUAAGCACCGGCUAACUUCGUG